UACGGAGGGUGCAAGCGUUAUCCGGAUUCACUGGGUUUAAAGCGUGCGCAGGCGGUUCGUGAUGUCUGGUGUGAAAGCCCCGGGCUCAACCUGGGAAUGGCAUUUGGGACUGCAAGGCUGGAGUUUGGCAGAGGAGACUGGAAUUCCCGGUGUAGCAGUGAAAUGCGUAGAUAUCGGGAGGAAUACCGAUGGCGAAGGCAGGUCUCUGGGCUGACACUGACGCUCAUGCACGAAAGCGUGGGGAGCAAUCAGG
This 253-nucleotide ribosomal RNA is filed under the name uncultured bacterium. RNAcentral's name for it is "partial 16S ribosomal RNA". It matches the Rfam family "Bacterial small subunit ribosomal RNA", at positions 524 to 776 of the family's 1533-position model. The record is from RNAcentral.